This is a long non-coding RNA of Betta splendens (Siamese fighting fish), 730 nucleotides long. RefSeq lists it as uncharacterized. The record is from RefSeq and is a predicted model, not a curated record. The transcript has 4 exons. NCBI's taxonomy places the organism in Eukaryota, Metazoa, Chordata, Actinopteri, Anabantiformes, Osphronemidae.
GCUGACGGGUGACCUGCUGCUUCAAACCAAUGGCCAGGUAGUCUUCUCCUGCUCCAUACUGUGGCCAGUGAGCAAGACCGUCACCAUUAGGAGACCUGCACACACACACAAGCUGUAAACACAGCAACCUGGUGUCCAUGACAUGGGUCUAAAAUAAUGAGACUGAGGUGAAACAAUCUGCAGGAAUCUCCUACAUCCUACAAAUCAGCCGGUCAAUGGUUUGUAUACAUCAAUUACCAGAUAAUUUGACAUGAGUAGUUGUGAAGCAAAAUCCUAACACUGUGAAGAUUUCAUCUCCAUGGUCCGUCCGAACAAAGCUUGGCCUUUGUUCCUUCUGGAAUGUGGGAGGAUGCUGGUACUCAUACAGUGCUGCAGCCAGAUACAUUUGCCACCAACUGAGGACAGACAUCAGGGAUCAAGCUAAAGAAUGCAUCAAAUGUUUUGUAGAUUUGUAGAUUUUAAAUUUGUUGUAGAAAAUAAGCAAUGGCAGUGAACCUGUGUCAUUGGUAGAGGAUUGUUUGACUGGUGCACAUCCACUGCAGCAGCUCCACUCUCAGCAAUGGCACGAUGAAACAAACCAUCAGACAACGGCUGUUCCAUCUGCACAUGAAGCCAUACCAAUAAGGAAACACUCCUUCCACCUGCAGACUCUCCAAAUACGGUGACUAAAUCUGGAUCUCCACCAAAGCUGUGAAUGUGCUGCUGGAUCCACCUCAGAGCUUGUACCUGG